Molecule: ribosomal RNA, 749 nt
Filed under: Enterococcus faecium
Lineage: Bacteria; Bacillati; Bacillota; Bacilli; Lactobacillales; Enterococcaceae
Description: bacterial SSU rRNA
Rfam family: Bacterial small subunit ribosomal RNA
Source: RNAcentral
UGGAUAACACUUGGAAACAGGUGCUAAUACCGUAUAACAAUCGAAACCGCAUGGUUUUGAUUUGAAAGGCGCUUUCGGGUGUCGCUGAUGGAUGGACCCGCGGUGCAUUAGCUAGUUGGUGAGGUAACGGCUCACCAAGGCCACGAUGCAUAGCCGACCUGAGAGGGUGAUCGGCCACAUUGGGACUGAGACACGGCCCAAACUCCUACGGGAGGCAGCAGUAGGGAAUCUUCGGCAAUGGACGAAAGUCUGACCGAGCAACGCCGCGUGAGUGAARAAGGUUUUCGGAUCGUAAAACUCUGUUGUUAGAGAAGAACAAGGAUGAGAGUAACUGUUCAUCCCUUGACGGUAUCUAACCAGAAAGCCACGGCUAACUACGUGCCACAGCCGCGGUAAUACGUAGGUGGCAAGCGUUGUCCGGAUUUAUUGGGCGUAAAGCGAGCGCAGGCGGUUUCUUAAGUCUGAUGUGAAAGCCCCCGGCUCAACCGGGGAGGGUCAUUGGAAACUGGGAGACUUGAGUGCAGAAGAGGAGAGUGGAAUUCCAUGUGUAGCGGUGAAAUGCGUAGAUAUAUGGAGGAACACCAGUGGCGAAGGCGGCUCUCUGGUCUGUACUGACGCUGAGGCUCGAAAGCGUGGGGAGCAAACAGGAUUAGAUACCCUGGUAGUCCACGCCGUAAACGAUGAGUGCUAAGUGUUGGAGGGUUUCCGCCCUUCAGUGCUGCAGCUAACGCAUUAAGCACUCCGCCUGG